RNAcentral lists this long non-coding RNA (257 nucleotides) under Lathyrus oleraceus (garden pea). RNAcentral describes it as "Pisum sativum (pea) long non-coding RNA (PSAT_LNC038330)". Lineage: Eukaryota; Viridiplantae; Streptophyta; Magnoliopsida; Fabales; Fabaceae. The record is from RNAcentral.
UUCAUACCCAACUUAAGAACCAUUUGUAUACCAUUAUUCAAGAGACUUAGGAAGAAUCCUCCUCCUUGGGAUGAUUCAAUGACCCAAAGUGUUUUGCAAUUAAAGAAAAUAUACCCAACUUAAGAACCAUUUGUAUACCAUUAUUCAAGAGACUUAGGAAGAAUCCUCCUCCUUGGGAUGAUUCAAUGACCCAAAGUGUUUUGCAAUUAAAGAAAAUAGUUAAAAAAAUUACCCUGUUCAGGAAUACCUGAUCCUAG